GCCUACGGGAGGCAGCAGUGAGGAAUAUUGGUCAAUGGGAGGAAUCCUGAACCAGCCAUGCCGCGUGCAGGACGACGGCUCUACGAGUUGUAAACUGCUUUUGUACCGGGGUAAAAUGCCUUACGAGUAGGGUUUUGAAAGUACGGUACGAAUAAGGAUCGGCUAACUCCGUGCCAGCAGCCGCGGUAAUACGGAGGAUGCGAGCGUUAUCCGGAUUUAUUGGGUUUAAAGGGUGCGUAGGCGGUUUUUUAAGUUAGUGGUUAAACGUCGGGCUUCACCUUGAUUUGACAUUAAUACUGUAAGAC
This 305-nucleotide ribosomal RNA is filed under the name uncultured bacterium. RNAcentral's name for it is "bacterial SSU rRNA". It matches the Rfam family "Bacterial small subunit ribosomal RNA", at positions 337 to 641 of the family's 1533-position model. The record is from RNAcentral.